AUUUAGUUUGGGUUUUCUAAGAAGAAAAUGAUAAACUACACUCUUUCCUCCUUGCCCCCUCUCCUGACAGGUAGCUAUGAAAGAUCUGGGUCAAAUUAUAACUACGAAUUUCUCCUUCUGUGGUAGCAGACAUCACAUCUCACCAGGCAGAAGCUUGGGCAAGCUGAAGAGUGCCCAUUGCAGAGAUGCAGGAUAGAGGGCUGCAAGGAGAAGAGCUGCAAACUAGAUAACUAGGCUUACUGGGUAGCAGCCCAUUUGGGACUGAGGUUGAUGAAGAGAAAUACUGAGCACCAAAACACACCUUUUUUUGCCUUAGAAGAUGGAAUUUAGCAGCUAUUUUAUACAGCGUGUUAGUUUAGAACAAAGAGUUAUUUCUUCCUUUACCAAAGUAUAUGAGGGAAUUUUAGGUAGGCAUAACAACAUUGCUUGAAGAGAUAUUUGCCAAUAAAACCAAAAUUAACAAGUUUGCUCUUGCA
Molecule: long non-coding RNA, 476 nt
Filed under: Crocodylus porosus (Australian saltwater crocodile)
Lineage: Eukaryota; Metazoa; Chordata; Crocodylia; Crocodylidae
Description: lncRNA (ENSCPRG00005013478.1)
Source: RNAcentral